This 786-nucleotide long non-coding RNA is filed under the name Hordeum vulgare. RNAcentral describes it as "long non-coding RNA (HVUL_LNC010930)". The record is from RNAcentral. Lineage: Eukaryota; Viridiplantae; Streptophyta; Magnoliopsida; Poales; Poaceae.
UGGAUUUUUAUCCCUGAAUAUGCACAAAUGGCACUCUUUAAAAACAAUAAUUACACAUAAUAAUACAACUACGUACUUACAAAAAGUGCAACCAAGACUUUGCUUUUUUUUCUACGACACUGUUUGCAUGGUAUAAUUGCGUGAAAAAUCCUAGUAAAGCACCGUUUCUACCUUUUUCUUUAUUCCAUCCAUUCUACCAAUACUCUCGGAUGACUCCACAACAUUAUAGUUUUCUUAAAUCCCACUAUCUAGUCCGAGCAAAUUACAAACUUUGUUUUCUCGCUCACCACACCCAACACAAAACCUCGAGUGCUAUAUCUCGCUUACUACGAGUGUUCCUUGCAUCUCCCCUACUGAGCUGGCCCAUUUUCUUUGGGUUUAUUUAUUUGGAGUGUUUCGUUCGGGUUCGCUAGGUUUAGUUCGUGGUUUUCUUCUGGUUUAUUUGUGUGGGUUCCUUCUCUGUAUUUUGCCUCGUUUCUCUUUGUUUUGUUUUGUUUUUGUAUUUUUGUGUGGGUCUAUUCAGUAGUUUUUCUUGUUUUAUUUUUAUAUUUCGUUUUCUAACUUUUUCCUGGGUUUUUUUGUACUGUUUUUUUCCGCUUGUCUUGUUUUCUUUUUCUCUGUGGUUUCUUUUGUUUCUUCCUUUGUUUUUUUUUAUAAUAUUAUUAAGUUUUUUUUCUUUCUAAGUUUUCUUUGAUUGUCUUGAGUUUUUUUUGUUUUUUUCUUCGUUUCCUCAUGUGCUUUCAUUCUCUUUUUCGUUCUUCUUUGUUUUCUGAGAUAUUCAUUUUU